This 333-nucleotide ribosomal RNA is filed under the name Protodrilus cf. submersus MDD-2014. RNAcentral's name for it is "partial 16S ribosomal RNA". It matches the Rfam family "Bacterial large subunit ribosomal RNA", at positions 1950 to 2524 of the family's 2925-position model. The record is from RNAcentral. Lineage: Eukaryota; Metazoa; Annelida; Polychaeta; Protodrilidae.
GCAAAGGUAGCAUAAUAAUUUGCCUCUUAAUUAGAGGCUGGAAUGAACGGACCUUCUUUGUUCCCCUGUCUCUACCUUACCUCUAAAACUUGAUAUUUAAGUGCAGAAGCUUAAAUCAUCCAGCAGGACCAAAAGACCCUAUAGAGCUUCAUAAAAGACCUAAUCUAUAUAGCCAUCUUUUAUUUCAUUGGGGCGAUGACAGAGCAAACCCUCUUACCUUAUAUAGAGACUCACCUCAAAUUGACAUGCCCUACAAGGGAUUUAGAAAAAGCUACCUUAGGGAUAACAGUCUAAUUUUCCUCAAUAGCCCACAUCUACAGGAAAGAUUGGCAC